Molecule: unclassified non-coding RNA, 5391 nt
Filed under: Hevea brasiliensis (rubber tree)
Lineage: Eukaryota; Viridiplantae; Streptophyta; Magnoliopsida; Malpighiales; Euphorbiaceae
Source: RNAcentral
UAGUUUUUAACGAUUUAUCCUAAUCUUUAUGGUUGUACUUCUAAUGUAAUGCAAACCCAUAAUACAUAGAGUAAACUUUUUAUUGCAAAAGGUAGAUUCUUUAACUUGACUAUUAAGGGAAAAAUUGAAAAACUUGAAUUUAAUGGAAUAGAUGGAUGAUCUCUCAUAAAAGAGCAUUGGGAAUAAUCCUCAAAUCUCCCUUCUGUAAUUCAUCAUAUGCUGCAACUAAAUUGACAAUAAUUUUCCAAUUAUUAUCUUCUGAACCCUUCUACUAUCUUGGUUCUGGAGGAGCCAUCGCUUGUGUGUUAAUCGGUGAAGGUUCUGUUGGGGUUGGAGUGGGUGGUGUUAUAACAUUCUUCUUGUCUGUGACUAUCGAGAAGCGAUUGGAACCUCCCAAGCUGUACCCCCCUAUGCUGUCUAUGGACUUCAUAUACUCAGAUGCAUUGUUCUCUAUGAUCAAAGCAUCUUCCAACUCCCUAACAAUGUCAGCCAUGCAUGGUCGAUAAGCAGAGAAGGGCUCAAUGCAUGCCAAUGCAGCCUCAACCACUCUCCACAUUGCCUCUGCAUGAUAUGCUCCCUUUAUGCUAGGGUCCACAAUUUCAUCAAUCUUUGACUCCCUUAUAAAGGGUUUUGCCCAUUCAACCAAGCUCCAUUCAUUCCGCGGCCUGUGGAUGUUUAGAGGUUCCCGUGCACUUACAAUUUCAAGGAGAACCACCCCAAAGCUAAAGACAUCACUUUUUGCUGAUAGAUGCUGCGUUGAAUAGUACUCUGGAUCCAAGUAGCCAGCAGUGCCUCUUACUUCCAGAGAAGCACCACUGUCCCCUUCCUGAGGAGCAUAUUUUGAGAAGCCGAAGUCUGCCACCUUGGCAUUCAUGCUUUGAUCUAGAAGUAUGUUGCUUGACUUUACAUCUCUGUGUAUAAUGCAACGGCCAGAAAAUGUAUGAAGAUGUGUCAAACCUGAAUAAUGAAAAAUAAUCUUAAACUUUCUCACAUUGUCAAUUAUAAAUGCAUAAGAAAAAAACUUUAGGGGAAUAUAAACUGAGAACAGGGACCAGGUUAAUCAAACAAUGUGAUUUUGAUAAAAUUGUGUCAGAAAACAAUGUCAAACUGGAAUUUUUGAUUGACUGUAAUCCAUUGCAUAGAUUUUUUUUUUUUUGGUACUAUAUUUGCACCACCUUUUGUCCAAUACUCCCUAACCAUGAGAGAGAAUUUGUUCAUUGCACAUGGAUUUUUCCCUUUAGGCUUUUACAGUUAAGAUCUGCCGUGGCUUGUACAAUCCAUUACAUGUGUGGUACGUAAUAUCCUGAUCCGGAUUCCAGAGUGAUAAUCCUGGACAGACCUGUCAUAUUUUUUGGCCCGUCUUUUGUUCUUCGCAGCAUUUUAGCCAUGCAAAGCAUGCCCAGAAGCUACAUUUGUAUCAACGUGUUCCAUUUCACUGACAUAAAAACCAUUUUGAGUGAGCCUCAUGUAUUUUUUUUAAGAGCAGAAGUUCAGCACUAACUUUCUAACUGACACCUACUGAACUGUUGAUAAUUGAUACCACGUAGAUUGGUCUAACUUUGUCACAAUACUGCCUCCAAUUUGUGAAGAAAAUUCAGAAUUUAAUAUAUGUUGUUAUGUUGCCUGUUAGUUUUCUAUGGUGAGUGGUCAGCUAUCUUGCUUUGAGGGCAUUGAUGGAAAUUAUAUGAUUAUUUUUACUUGAGACAUUGAUGUUAUGUUCAUAGUAUAAUAAGUUUUUAACAUUAGUCUAAGCAGUAGGAAAGAAGUUGAGCCUAAUUUUCAUGUCAGAUAUUGGUACAGAUAGAACACAAGAAAAUAGUAAAUGCUUAAUAUCUGUACUAGUUACUUGCCUCGAGCAGCACCAAGAGCAAUAGAAAGUCUGAUUGGCCAAUCCAGAGUCUUCCUUUUAGCUGCUUCCCCUGUUAUGAGAAAUGGUUGUUAGAAAGAGAUGAAUGUCAAAACAAAUUAGUGGAUAGGGCUUUUGAUGAGAAGUACCAUUUAGGCGAUCUUGCAGAGAGCCAUUGGACAUGAAUGGAUAGACAAGGAUCUGUUGGUCAUUUUCACAACAAUAACCUAGAAGGGGUACCAGAUUCUCAUGACGGAUGGAUGAAAGAAGGUUUAGCUGUAGCAUACAUAGACAACAUUGUCAGUAGGCAUAUAUUUUAGACAGACAGAAACCCUAAAUGUGGAGUUAUGCAGAAUGGAGAUCUACUUUAAUCUUUUAUUUUCUCUGAUGAAAAGAGAAAUUGCAUAGAUGAUGGGCCAAGAAAUGUUAACAAGGGAUGUUAUUUGAUAAAAUCAUGAUAAUUUUAAUGGUGCACAAAUUUCUAUCAGAAGUCACAAACAGCACGGGUAAACUGGGGAGUGAUAAGAUGAUAAUUGUCAUUUCUAUAAGCUCAGCACAAGGUUUCUAUUUGGUAUUUAAAUAACAAAUUUAUAGCUAGUAGGUAAUAGACAGAAAAGUACAAUUCAAAUGCAUUGUUAUACCUCGUUCUCAAAUUCCCGAGUUCCUUGAAUUGAGGUGGAUGAUCGGACUUUCACUGCCACUUCUUGACCAUCAGGCAGUAUGCCACGGAAUACUGAUCCAAAACCACCUUCACCUAUCAAGGUUUUAUACUUGUGGGUGGUAUUCUCUAUGUAUUCUAGGGUAAAUAUUUGAAUAGUUAUCGACUUCAAAGCUACAUCAUCCAAGCUUGGCAGAGAGAAAAUGGCAUCUGCAUAUAUGUAGGAAACUUUUGUUGAGACUUGAGAGAUGCUUAUUUUGCCCUAGGAGUAUAGGACACAUUGCAAAAGAAUAUUUUAUUGACCAAAACAACAGUUAGCUGUAAAGUUGAUUGAGCAAUAAGCAUACUAUAGACGUGUGAGUGCAUGUAUGUAAAAAUUUAUGUGUGCACUGCACAUACAAGUACUUGCACUUGCUUUUGUCAUCCCUAUGCAUUUUAAACUGGAUGGAAUUUUUUUGUUGUUUGUAGUACUGCUUUGUAUGUCAAGAUGAUAAGAUCUUUGAUUGUACUUUAUAUGCUUCUUUAUUCAAGUUUUUCUAGGCAUGUUUGUAAAUAAUUUCCAAAGAAUGGAAGAAAUUCUGGGCGAUUAUAUCCUAUAGAUGAUAUCUCUGAAUGUACCACGUUAGAUUAUAAUGGACCUGAAAAUAACACAAACCAACUCAGGUUAAUGCAUUUGUGAUAAACAGAUAAAACAUACCGGGAACUGAAAUUAUCUAAACUUGAAGAUCUAAGUUAGAGGCAGAUGCUAUGAUUUGAGACUGUCGGCCAACAUUAAUGAUGAAUUUACUCACUCUUUGUCAUAGGGAGUAGUUUUACAUCAAAGUUUCCCAUAGCCAUGAACUUUUGUCUGUAAAUGCAAACAAAAGCAAAUCCAAGUGCCAAUAUGAAGGAUCCACAUGCGACAGUGCCUAUGACAAUUCCUUGUAUUUUACUUGUUGAUCUUUGUUCGGCACAUGCCUCAUAACUGAAACAUAAUACUUGAGUAUUAGAUAUUUCUUCCAUUCUUGAAUAAUGAAUACUGAAUCUUUAUGUGCACUGUUAAGGCAUAGAUUUUCAAUGUCAUACUCUGUAGCAAGUCUUGAGCAGUUAAAACUGAGAGGCACAGUGCUGAGAGAAUUGCCUCCACAGUAUAGUAUUGUCAAAUUUGGAAGCGAGGUCAAAGAAUUUGGAAUAGAUCCAUCCAGUUCAUUGUGGCUUAGAUCCACUGAUGUUAACUUGGAGUACGAUGGGAAUUCUGGUAUCUUGCCAGUAAAUUCAUUGUUGCUAACAUUCAAUUGCAUUAGGUUGUUCAUCCUAGUAAUAUUAGCUGGAAGCUUCCCACGUAGAUGACUUGAGGAAAUAUCCAGGCUGGUGAUCACUUUGGCCCCAUUCAUGGGUUGGCAUGUCAGACCUUUCCAAGGGAGGGGUAGACAUGGGUCUCCUGACCAACUCUGCAACAGUUGAUUUUCUUUAUUAUGCGAAAGCAGUUCAUCUCUCACCAUCUUUAUUGUGUCCACGUCUUGCUGGUUAGUUCCUUGAAUCCAUGGGUACACUUGUAGGAUCUCAUAAGCAUUUAAAAUGGGCCCAAAGACAGACCUAUUUGUGACCUUGACUAGGGUCAAAUUUAGAGACCCUUUUGCUGUGACAUUCAGUUCAACUACAUUAUAAUGUGAUCCAUUGGCCUGUAUGUCAAAUUCCUUCUGGUGAAUCUCAUUGUUAAUGUAUAUGUUAAACACCCUUUGUUGAGGUUUUAUAGUGAAAUUAAGCUCAAGAAAGUAGAGGAACAGAGUGUAGUUGUGGUCUUCUGCAUCAAGGCUCCUGUGUAGGAACUCCAAUCUGUCUGUAUGUGUUAGUGCUGUUUGGAGAACUUUAAGAGGCACUGUUGUGCUAUCAUUAAGGAUGUUGGAUGUAGCUGGUGUCGGAUCUGGUGAUAUCAAAACUGUAUUGUUGUCGAGUUUUUCCCAAAUUCUAUCAGAAUAAUCAUCUGGGUACCUGAUAUCAUCUACUGCAUUUCCUACAUCAAUUCUGCUAACCAAUUUCAAAACAUCAGAAGCUUUUCCCUGUAUGUUUAAAUGCUCCGAAUAUUCCAGGGGCCUGAGUUCAAGCUGUGAAAUGUAUGGGUAUCCCUUGUCAUGCACUAAGCAAAGAUCUAUAUAACGAUGUGUAGCUCUAAAAAUGCCCUCGACUGUCAAAUUCUCAACUGUGUUCACUGUGCUUAUUUGUGUGACACCAAUCAAAACAUCAAAGGAGCACAAAGAUUCCACUGAAUCUCCAUAAAGAAAUGUAACCCUUAUUAGAUAGUCUUGGUCCUUAUUUGUUGAUAAGUUAUAACAUCUCUUCCCUGAAUCAAUUUUGAAAACCCGAACAUCAUAGCUUGUGGAAUUUGCUUCUGCCCUGGUUAUAUGUCGGCAACUUGCUUCAUCUGGGAACCAUCCAGAAUCUGACAUCCAACUUAUUUUGUUGUCAUCUGUAGAAUUUGAUGCAGCGCAACAUUUGAUGCUGACAAAACCUUCUUCUGCACAAAUCAAUGGAAUAAGUAUGAACAGGAAAACAGUAAAACUAUCGACACUUUUUACAAUCCAGUUAUGCAUUCCCAUCAUCUUCUCAUCUUAAACGGUGCUCGCCCCAUCUGGUCAUCAAAUUCAUAAUCAGACUAGCCGUUUUUGCAGGUUGUGAAUUUUCCUGUACUCCACUAGCUCAAACCUGCAGUUUUCUUGUCUGAGUGAACCUAUAGAGACAGAUUUAGCUAUAUUCUCUCUGAUGCUUGAAAUUGAAAUCUAAACAAGAAACCACGGCAACAACAGAAGGGCAUCAGAGAGGAGAAAAUUUUGAGGAAAAAGAGGUUGAUAACAAAGGUUUGACUUCAAAUAUAGAAAUUAGAGAAGGAAGGAAGAUAGAUGAGAAGGAG